UAUUCUAGAGAGGCGUGCCAAACUGCCAGUGCGGAUACUUAGAAGCAGAAUGCCAAAAACCUGCUUUCCCAGCCUAAUCCAAGUGGCAGUCGUUAUAAUGCUACUUAACUCGGUCUUCGUGGAAAAAACCAUUUCAGGAUUUACCGGAGGUACUCCAAGUUGUUAUUUUCAUCCUCCAUAUAAUUGUCCAUCGGCGAAAGAUGGCAGCUCAAAGCGUCAACUUAGAAAGGUGGAGAACAUGUGCUUGACACAGAAGAGAGGCCUCUGCAGAUCAGUCCAAGACUACUGCAAAUUUGAACAAGAACUUGGUAACGUUUGACUAAAAAUAGUGAAAAACCAACCCAGAAAUAAAUCGGCUAAUAAGUUGAACAGUGUUACAUGAUAAAUUUAAAUUUAGGCCUUUUAAUAUCAUUAUAAGUUACAAUAGACGUUUUCCAAGUUCCGUAGGUACAUUUAACAAAUUAAUUUGCAUGCCUGUAAACUAAAGAAUAAAUUGCGUAAAGUAA
Molecule: long non-coding RNA, 506 nt
Organism: Stylophora pistillata
Lineage: Eukaryota; Metazoa; Cnidaria; Anthozoa; Scleractinia; Pocilloporidae
Source: RefSeq, a predicted model, not a curated record